UAGGGAAUCUUCCGCAAUGGGCGAAAGCCUGACGGAGCAACGCCGCGUGAGUGAUGAAGGUCUUCGGAUCGUAAAACUCUGUUAUUAGGGAAGAACAAAUGUGUAAGUAACUAUGCACGUCUUGACGGUACCUAAUCAGAAAGCCACGGCUAACUACGUGCCAGCAGCCGCGGUAAUACGUAGGUGGCAAGCUUUAUCCGGAAUUAUUGGGCGUAAAGCGCGCGUAGGCGGUUUUUUAAGUCUGAUGUGAAAGCCCACGGCUCAACCGUGGAGGGUCAUUGGAAACUGGAAAACUUGAGUGCAGAAGAGAAAAGUGGAAUUCCAUGUGUAGCGGUGAAAUGCGCAGAGAUAUGGAGGAACACCAGUGGCGAAGGCGACUUUCUGGUCUGUAACUGACGCUGAUGUGCGAAAGCGUGGGGAUCAAACAGG
This 429-nucleotide ribosomal RNA is filed under the name Actinomycetes bacterium. RNAcentral describes it as "Actinobacteria bacterium partial 16S ribosomal RNA". It matches the Rfam family "Bacterial small subunit ribosomal RNA", at positions 355 to 776 of the family's 1533-position model. Lineage: Bacteria; Bacillati; Actinomycetota; Actinomycetes. The record is from RNAcentral.